UUCCGGUUGAUCCUGCCGGACCUUACUGCUAUCGGGAUAAGACUAAGCCAUGCGAGUUGAGCGCUCUCAAGCUACGUUGAGAGAGCAGCGAACGGCUCCGUAACACGUAGUUAACCUACCCUCAGGACAGGGAUACCCCCGGGAAACUGGGGACAAUACCUGAUAGGCGGAAAGACCUGGAACGGUCUUCCACUGAAAGGGUGUUGGAUACAUGCUUUCAACACUGCCUGAGGAUGGGACUGCGACCGAUCAGGUUGUUGGUGGGGUAACGGCCCACCAAGCCGAUAACCGGUACGGGCCCUGAGAGGGGGAGCCCGGAGAUGGGAACUGAGACAAGGUCCCAGGUCCUACGGGACGCAGCAGGCGCGAAACCUCCACAAUGCACGAAAGUGUGAUGGGGUUAUCCCGAGUGCUGUCCGAUGAGGAUGGCUUUUCCUCGGUGUAAAAAGCCGAGGGAAUAAAGGGGGGGCAAGACUGGUGUCAGCCGCCGCGGUAAUACCAGCUCCCUGAGUGGUAGGGAUGAUUAUUUGGCCUAAAGCGUCCGUAGCCGGCUUGGUCAGUCCUUCGUUAAAUCCAACGACUUAAUCGUUGGUCUGCGGAGGAUACUGCCAGGCUAGAGGACGGGAGAG
This 629-nucleotide ribosomal RNA is filed under the name uncultured archaeon. RNAcentral describes it as "bacterial SSU rRNA". It matches the Rfam family "Archaeal small subunit ribosomal RNA", at positions 1 to 607 of the family's 1478-position model. The record is from RNAcentral.